AGCAGUCGCCGCGGUAAUACGGAGGGUGCAAGCGUUAAUCGGAAUUACUGGGCGUAAAGCGCACGCAGGCGGUCUGUCAAGUCAGAUGUGAAAUCCCCGGGCUUAACCUGGGAACUGCAUUUGAAACUGGCAGGCUAGAGUCUUGUAGAGGGGGGUAGAAUUCCAGGUGUAGCGGUGAAAUGCGUAGAGAUCUGGAGGAAUACCGGUGGCGAAGGCGGCCCCCUGGACAAAGACUGACGCUCAGGUGCGAAAGCGUGGGGAGCAAACAGGAUUAGAUACCCCUGUAGUCCCUGUCUCUUAUAC
RNAcentral lists this ribosomal RNA (303 nucleotides) under uncultured bacterium. Its description in RNAcentral is "partial 16S ribosomal RNA". It matches the Rfam family "Bacterial small subunit ribosomal RNA", at positions 507 to 807 of the family's 1533-position model. The record is from RNAcentral.